This 346-nucleotide unclassified non-coding RNA is filed under the name soil metagenome. RNAcentral's name for it is "partial contains 5.8S ribosomal RNA, internal transcribed spacer 2, and large subunit ribosomal RNA". The stretch from base 1 to 121 matches the Rfam family "5.8S ribosomal RNA", at positions 35 to 154 of the family's 154-position model. The record is from RNAcentral.
GAUGAAGAACGCAGCGAAAUGCGAUAAGUAAUGCGAAUUGCAGAAUUUCCGUGAGUCAUCGAAUCUUUGAACGCACAUUGCGCCCACUGGUAUUCCGGUGGGCAUGCCUGAUCGAGCGUCAUUAUCCUCCCUCAAACCUCGGGUUUGGUGUUGGACCCAAGUUGUGUGAACAACUGGUCUCAAAGACAAUGACGGCGUCCGUGGGACCCUCGGUGCAACGAGCUUUUAGGAGCACGCGUCGAGUUUCAAGGACCUUCCGGGCCGGUCUCCUUUACUAUUUUUACAAGGUUGACCUCGGAUCAGGUAGGAAUACCCGCUGAACUUAAGCAUAUCAAUAAGCGGAGGA